RNAcentral lists this ribosomal RNA (468 nucleotides) under uncultured bacterium. RNAcentral describes it as "partial 16S ribosomal RNA". It matches the Rfam family "Bacterial small subunit ribosomal RNA", at positions 28 to 507 of the family's 1533-position model. The record is from RNAcentral.
GACGAACGCUGGCGGCGUGCUUAACACAUGCAAGUCGAACGGAAAGGCCCUGUUUUGGUUGGGUGCUCGAGUGGCGAACGGGUGAGUAACACGUGAGUAACCUGCCCUUGACGUUGGGAUAACUUCAGGAAACUGGGGUUAAUACCGGAUAGGAUCUCCUGCUGCAUGGUGGGGGUUGGAAAGUUUCGGCGGUUGGGGAUGGACUCGCGGCUUAUCAGCUUGUUGGUGGGGUAGUGGCUUACCAAGGCUUUGACGGGUAGCCGGCCUGAGAGGGUGACCGGCCACAUUGGGACUGAGAUACGGCCAAGACUCCUACGGGAGGAAGCAGUGGGGAAUAUUGCACAAUGGGCGGAAGCCGGAUGCAGCAACGCCGCGUGCGGGAUGACGGCCUUCGGGUUGUAAACCGCUUUCGCCUGUGACGAAGCGUGAGUGACGGUAAUGGGUAAAGAAGCACCGGCUAACUACGUG